RNAcentral lists this ribosomal RNA (497 nucleotides) under uncultured bacterium. RNAcentral's name for it is "partial 16S ribosomal RNA". It matches the Rfam family "Bacterial small subunit ribosomal RNA", at positions 28 to 507 of the family's 1533-position model. The record is from RNAcentral.
GAUGAACGCUGGCGGCGUGCCUAAUACAUGCAAGUCGAGCGAACGGACGAGAAGCUUGCUUCUCUGAUGUUAGCGGCGGACGGGGGAGUAACACGUGGAUAACCUACCUAUAAGACUGGGAUAACUUCGGGAAACCGUAGCUAAUACCGGAUAAUAUUUUGAACCGCAUGGUUCAAAAGUGAAAGACGGUCUUGCUGUCACUUAUAGAUGGAUCCGCGCUGCAUUAGCUAGUUGGUAAGGUAACGGCUUACCAAGGCAACGAUGCAUAGCCGACCUGAGAGGGUGAUCGGCCACACUGGAACUGAGACACGGUCCAGACGCCUACGGGAGGCAGCAGUAGGGAAUCUUCCGCAAUGGGCGAAAGCCUGACGGAGCAACGCCGCGUGAGUGAUGAAGGUCUUCGGAUCGUAAAACUCUGUUAUCAGGGAAGAACAUAUGUGUAAGUAACUGUGCACAUCUUGACGGUACCUAAUCAGAAAGCCACGGCUAACUACGUG